This 253-nucleotide ribosomal RNA is filed under the name uncultured bacterium. Its description in RNAcentral is "partial 16S ribosomal RNA". It matches the Rfam family "Bacterial small subunit ribosomal RNA", at positions 524 to 776 of the family's 1533-position model. The record is from RNAcentral.
UACGUAGGGUGCGAGCGUUAAUCGGAAUUACUGGGCGUAAAGCGUGCGCAGGCGGCUUUGCGAGACAGAUGUGAAAUCCCCGGGCUCAACCUGGGAACUGCAUUUGUGACUGUAUAGCUAGAGUACGGUAGAGGGGGAUGGAAUUCCGCGUGUAGCAGUGAAAUGCGUAGAUAUGCGGAGGAACACCGAUGGCGAAGGCAAUCCCCUGGACCUGUACUGACGCUCAUGCACGAAAGCGUGGGGAGCAAACAGG